Molecule: long non-coding RNA, 777 nt
Filed under: Rattus norvegicus (Norway rat)
Lineage: Eukaryota; Metazoa; Chordata; Mammalia; Rodentia; Muridae
Description: long non-coding RNA NONRATT018976
Source: RNAcentral
CGCGUGCGCAUAACGCGCGUGGGUCCUAAAGUAGUGGUGUUUCGUGAGUUAUCCUUGCAAAUGGGCACCGUGGCCUAGCGCCCCAGGCGUUUCCAUCCGUAACCUUGCACCGAAACCUGCUAGGAGGGGUCUCCGCCGAGCGCCUCGGCCCUGAAGCAUGGCAGCUAUCCCUUCCAGCGGCUCGCUCGUGGCUACCCAUGACUACUAUCGGCGUAAGUAGCCCCUCGCCAGCCCCGCCCAGGGCUGGCCCAGGGCUCUGUGGCUGACCCGCCUCCCCUUCCCAGGACGUCUGGGCUCCUCGUCCAGCAACAGCUCCGGCGGAAGUGCAGAGUACCCGGGGGACGCCGUGCCCCACUCCCCGGGUCUUCCCAAAGCUGACUCGGGCCACUGGUGGGCCAGCUUCUUUUUCGGGAAAUCCACCCUCCCAUUCAUGGCCGCAGUGUUGGAGUCUCCUGAGCACUCGGCAGAAUCCCCCCAGGCCUCCAGAAGCCCGAUCUCCUGUGGCCUGGCUCCUGAAACCAUGAAGAAGCAGCCAGUCAUGCAUCCUAGCCAGACCAACAGCAGGGCCCCGUCCUGACCUGUCAGAAUCAGCAGACUGCCCAAGUUUAAGUGGUGCUAGACCAGAGCCCACCCUCUCAACCCUCCCUGUAAACUAGGAAGGCUAAACAGACAUGAGCAGGAGCUGGAGAGAGCCUAUUAGUUUACAGCACUGAGCUUUCCUGACCCCAUAACUGUGUCUUCCACAAAGCAGAAAAUAAACUCACAGCAGCCAUCCUC